Molecule: ribosomal RNA, 500 nt
Filed under: uncultured bacterium
Lineage: Bacteria
Description: partial 16S ribosomal RNA
Rfam family: Bacterial small subunit ribosomal RNA
Source: RNAcentral
GUUGAACGCUGGCGGAAUGCUUUACACAUGCAAGUCGAACGGCAGCACGGACUUCGGUCUGGUGGCGAGUGGCGAACGGGUGAGUAAUGUAUCGGAACGUGCCCAGUCGUGGGGGAUAACGUAGUGAAAAUUACGCUAAUACCGCAUACGAUCUAUGGAGGAAAGCGGGGGAUCGCAAGACCUCGCGCGAUUGGAGCGGCCGAUAUCAGAUUAGGUAAUUGGUGGGGUAAAGGCCCACCAAGCCAACGAUCUGUAGCUGGUCUGAGAGGACGACCAGCCACACUGGAACUGAGACACGGUCCAGACUCCUACGGGAGGCAGCAGUGGGGAAUUUUGGACAAUGGGCGAAAGCCUGAUCCAGCCAUUCCGCGUGCAGGAUGAAGGCCCUCGGGUUGUAAACUGCUUUUGUACAGAACGAAAAGGUUUCUACUAAUACUAGGAGCUCAUGACGGUACUGUAAGAAUAAGCACCGGCUAACUACGUGCCAGCAGCCGCGGUAA